RNAcentral lists this unclassified non-coding RNA (151 nucleotides) under uncultured Ascomycota. Its description in RNAcentral is "sequence contains ITS1". Lineage: Eukaryota; Fungi; Ascomycota. The record is from RNAcentral.
UCGUGGGGGCCCUUCGCGGUCCUUUGCGUGAUGCAACCCUUGCCUUUUUUUCAGCAUCUAUCCGUUUCCUCGGCAGCCUCGCCUGCCAACGAGGACCUUUAGAAACCCUUUUUGUAACGUCGGUACGAAACUCAGAAAAGCACAAAGGUUA